Molecule: ribosomal RNA, 550 nt
Filed under: uncultured bacterium
Lineage: Bacteria
Description: bacterial SSU rRNA
Rfam family: Bacterial small subunit ribosomal RNA
Source: RNAcentral
UGGGGAAUAUUGCGCAAUGGGGGGAACCCUGACGCAGCCACGCCGCGUGAAUGAAGAAGGCCUUCGGGUUGUAAAGUUCUUUCGGUAUUGAGGAAGGUUGAUGUGUUAAUAGUACAUCAAAUUGACGUUAAAUACAGAAGAAGCACCGGCUAACUCCGUGCCAGCAGCCGCGGUAAUACGGAGGGUGCGAGCGUUAAUCGGAAUAACUGGGCGUAAAGGGCACGCAGGCGGUUAUUUAAGUGAGGUGUGAAAGCCCCGGGCUUAACCUGGGAAUUGCAUUUCAGACUGGGUAACUAGAGUACUUUAGGGAGGGGUAGAAUUCCACGUGUAGCGGUGAAAUGCGUAGAGAUGUGGAGGAAUACCGAAGGCGANGAAGGCAGCCCCUUGGGAAUGUACUGACGCUCAUGUGCGAAAGCGUGGGGAGCAAACAGGAUUAGAUACCCUGGUAGUCCACGCUGUAAACGCUGUCGAUUUGGGGGUUGGGGUUUAACUCUGGCGCCCGUAGCUAACGUGAUAAAUCGACCGCCUGGGGAGUACGGCCGCAAGGUUA